Molecule: ribosomal RNA, 1438 nt
Filed under: uncultured organism
Description: 16S ribosomal RNA
Rfam family: Bacterial small subunit ribosomal RNA
Source: RNAcentral
CAGGCUUAACACAUGCAAGUCGAGGGGCAGCAUGGUCUUAGCUUGCUAAGGCCGAUGGCGACCGGCGCACGGGUGAGUAACACGUAUCCAACCUGCCGUCUACUCUUGGACAGCCUUCUGAAAGGAAGAUUAAUACAAGAUGGCAUCAUGAGUCCGCAUGUUCACAUGAUUAAAGGUAUUCCGGUAGACGAUGGGGAUGCGUUCCAUUAGAUAGUAGGCGGGGUAACGGCCCACCUAGUCUUCGAUGGAUAGGGGUUCUGAGAGGAAGGUCCCCCACAUUGGAACUGAGACACGGUCCAAACUCCUACGGGAGGCAGCAGUGAGGAAUAUUGGUCAAUGGGCGAGAGCCUGAACCAGCCAAGUAGCGUGAAGGAUGACUGCCCUAUGGGUUGUAAACUUCUUUUAUAAAGGAAUAAAGUCGGGUAUGGAUACCCGUUUGCAUGUACUUUAUGAAUAAGGAUCGGCUAACUCCGUGCCAGCAGCCGCGGUAAUACGGAGGAUCCGAGCGUUAUCCGGAUUUAUUGGGUUUAAAGGGAGCGUAGAUGGAUGUUUAAGUCAGUUGUGAAAGUUUGCGGCUCAACCGUAAAAUUGCAGUUGAUACUGGAUAUCUUGAGUGCAGUUGAGGCAGGCGGAAUUCGUGGUGUAGCGGUGAAAUGCUUAGAUAUCACGAAGAACUCCGAUUGCGAAGGCAGCCUGCUAAGCUGCAACUGACAUUGAGGCUCGAAAGUGUGGGUAUCAAACAGGAUUAGAUACCCUGGUAGUCCACACGGUAAACGAUGAAUACUCGCUGUUUGCGAUAUACUGCAAGCGGCCAAGCGAAAGCGUUAAGUAUUCCACCUGGGGAGUACGCCGGCAACGGUGAAACUCAAAGGAAUUGACGGGGGCCCGCACAAGCGGAGGAACAUGUGGUUUAAUUCGAUGAUACGCGAGGAACCUUACCCGGGCUUAAAUUGCAGAUGAAUUACGGUGAAAGCCGUAAGCCGCAAGGCAUCUGUGAAGGCGCUGCAUGGUUGUCGUCAGCUCGUGCCGUGAGGUGUCGGCUUAAGUGCCAUAACGAGCGCAACCCUUGUUGUCAGUUACUAACAGGUUCCGCUGAGGACUCUGACAAGACUGCCAUCGUAAGAUGUGAGGAAGGUGGGGAUGACGUCAAAUCAGCACGGCCCUUACGUCCGGGGCUACACACGUGUUACAAUGGGGGGUACAGAGGGCCGCUACCACGCGAGUGGAUGCCAAUCCCCAAAACCUCUCUCAGUUCGGACUGGAGUCUGCAACCCGACUCCACGAAGCUGGAUUCGCUAGUAAUCGCGCAUCAGCCACGGCGCGGUGAAUACGUUCCCGGGCCUUGUACACACCGCCCGUCAAGCCAUGGGAGCCGGGGGUACCUGAAGUGCGUAACCGCGAGGAGCGCCCUAGGGUAAAACUGGUGACUGGGGCUAAG